GCCUCUCUAACAGCCAAUGGCGACCAAGUCCUAGCAGUCCUAUCUCUAAAGGUCCUCGCUAUCUGUCAUCUCCCCUUCAUUUUCCCAGUUACUCCAGUUACUGUCCUACUGAAGGACCCCCAUCCCAUCUGGGCUACUAUAACCACAUGGACCAUCCCUUGCUUCAAUCAUAGAAUUCUUUCUUCAGAUCAAAGUAUAUUCAGACACUCGAUACAGUAACAAAAGCAAGCUAUCCUGGAAGGAAGAAGGAAUCAGGAGGCAGAGCACAUGGUUAAAGCAUGAGAUGUGAAACCAGGAAGAACCAGGUCUGAACCUUAGCUCCACCAGUGGUAGCUUCAAACCUUGGUCCUUUCUGAGCCUGCUUCUUCAACCGUAAGGUGUGACUACACUGAGCAGUAACAGCAAAACCUGAAAGAGAAUGGAUACAGGUGUUCAUUUCAGAUGGUACAAGUUUAACAAAGUACAAGAGCAACUUAAGGGAACGCUACACUUCCUUAGAAAUUAAGAGUGUGUGCUACACUGCUUUACCAGAGCAAGGCCAAAAGCAGCUUCAAUUAUGGUACAACUGUGUGAAGACACAAUGCAAAACCACUCAAGAAUGCUCACUCAAAUGGAUUUUUACCAUGGAACUCGGAAACGGGACCCAGAAAGUUGUUUUCUCAAGUGGAUGGAACAACACAAGCAAUCAGUAUCCUGAAACAGGCCCUG
This 708-nucleotide long non-coding RNA is filed under the name Homo sapiens (human). RNAcentral's name for it is "novel transcript, antisense to IWS1". The record is from RNAcentral. Lineage: Eukaryota; Metazoa; Chordata; Mammalia; Primates; Hominidae.